This is a non-coding RNA of Triticum urartu, 986 nucleotides long. NCBI's taxonomy places the organism in Eukaryota, Viridiplantae, Streptophyta, Magnoliopsida, Poales, Poaceae. The record is from RefSeq and is a predicted model, not a curated record.
GGUUCGUCCGGAGGGGGCAAUUUGUGGGGUCGGGAUGGGCCAGGCUGGGCCCGACCAAUGUGACGAACACGUCGAGGCACGUCCAGGCCUUUCCAUACCCACCUUAGACUUAGUCUGGAUAUUAGAAGUGCCGGUCAACUUAAACUUAUAGAAUCGAUGUGAGAAGCCCGCGGUUUAGCGAUGGGGCAUUGACCGGACGUACGCCCGAGCAAUUUGGGCACCCGGUCGUAGAUGCCCUGAGAUCUCGGACACUUGAGAGGCCACUCCCAGCCUACUUGGCUGUAGAUGUCCUGAGCAGCCGCCGGGCUAUCAUUGCCAGUAUACAGUGCAUAGAACUCAGAUUUUUAGCAUAAAAAUCGAGAGAUAUUUGUUGCCAUGGAUUGGAAGGUGAAAGGAAUGGGUGAUGGCUACUGCCAUUACUACCACAUCCGCCACCUAUUUCUUCUUGCUUUGCUUGCACGCCUGCAACACCAAUUCCUUUAGCUUCCACUUUCGUCUUUCGACCCCUAUGACGUCUGCCACUCCAAGAGGAUGGUGAAGAACUGAAGAUUCAUGCCUCUUAAGAGCAGACAGGAAGAAGGUUCUGCCUCACCAAGAAGCGAGGUUGUGGUGUUGCUGGAUGCGAUGGUGCCGUGGAGGAUGGAGGCGCGGCUGGCGGCCACGGUGCGGGCGGCGCUCCUCGGCUGGCUCUUCUUCUGCCUCACCGUCGCCAGCGACGUCGCACGCCAACUCAGGAGCAGCGAUCUCUCAGUCUAAGGCCGGCCGCGUUCGACAUCGCCGGCGGCAAAGAACAGACUCUGCGUCUACGAAGUGCCACUCCAGUGCACAGGAAGAAGAUUGAUUUACAGCAGGGUAACCAGAUGUGAUUUUGCAACGAACCCGCAGUUAGGUGCAGGUGCUCGUCUUUAGAAGACGGUUGUCCUUGAGACUCAUUGAGCAGAUGAUCCCUGUAAAUUUUCAACUAAAGCGUGUUGUUCCUUGGCUCA